Molecule: ribosomal RNA, 497 nt
Filed under: uncultured bacterium
Lineage: Bacteria
Description: partial 16S ribosomal RNA
Rfam family: Bacterial small subunit ribosomal RNA
Source: RNAcentral
GAUGAACGCUGGCGGCGUGCCUAAUACAUGCAAGUCGAGCGAACAGACGAGGAGCUUGCUCCUCUGACGUUAGCGGCGGACGGGUGAGUAACACGUGGAUAACCUACCUAUAAGACUGGGAUAACUUCGGGAAACCGGAGCUAAUACCGGAUAAUAUAUUGAACCGCAUGGUUCAAUAGUGAAAGACGGUUUUGCUGUCACUUAUAGAUGGAUCCGCGCCGCAUUAGCUAGUUGGUAAGGUAACGGCUUACCAAGGCGACGAUGCGUAGCCGACCUGAGAGGGUGAUCGGCCACACUGGAACUGAGACACGGUCCAGACUCCUACGGGAGGCAGCAGUAGGGAAUCUUCCGCAAUGGGCGAAAGCCUGCCGGAGCACCGCCGCGUGAGUGAUGAAGGUCUUCGGAUCGUAAAACUCUGUUAUUAGGGAAGAACAAAUGUGUAAGUAACUAUGCACGUCUUGACGGUACCUAAUCAGAAAGCCACGGCUAACUACGUG